This 343-nucleotide ribosomal RNA is filed under the name uncultured bacterium. RNAcentral's name for it is "bacterial SSU rRNA". It matches the Rfam family "Bacterial small subunit ribosomal RNA", at positions 165 to 507 of the family's 1533-position model. The record is from RNAcentral.
AAUACCUCAUAAUGCAGCGGAUCCGCAUGGAUAUGUUGUUAAAGGUUUACCGCCUUGGGAUAGGCUUGCGUCUGAUUAGUUAGUUGGUGUGGUUAACGGCACACCAAGGCUACGAUCAGUAACUGGUCUGAGAGGAUGAUCAGUCACACUGGAACUGAGACACGGUCCAGACUCCUACGGGAGGCAGCAGUGAGGAAUAUUGGGCAAUGCUCGAAAGAGUGACCCAGCAACGCCGCGUGGAGGAUGAAGGUAUUCUAUAUCGUAAACUCCUGUGAGAGCAGACGAAAGACAGAUUAUUAAUCUGGAUGACUGUAUGCUCAGAGGAAGCCCGGCUAACUACGUG